Chroicocephalus ridibundus (black-headed gull) is the source of this 7601-nucleotide long non-coding RNA. RefSeq lists it as uncharacterized. The transcript has 4 exons. The record is from RefSeq and is a predicted model, not a curated record. Lineage: Eukaryota; Metazoa; Chordata; Aves; Charadriiformes; Laridae.
UUUCAAAAAUAGAUGUCCAAAGUUAGGCAUUCCAAAAUCCAUAUUUAAGCAUCUACAGAAGUGGCCUCAUUCUCAAAGUGCUGAAGUUGCCAAGAGCUGUAAAAUGCUCAAAACUUGAAAAUCAGGCCACAUCUUUAGGUGCUUGAAAACAGAUUCAAGAGCCUAAGUUUAGGCAUCUACAUUCUUGACUGUAAAAUAUUAUUACCCGUGCAAGACGUGCUAUAAUCCAUCACAGAUAUAUGACAUUCUCAAAAAUGUACUGUACUAAUUGGCCCAGAUUUUCAGUUGCAGCUGAAAAGCUCACUGCCCAGCUCAGAGCAAAUCACAAAUGUAGCCACUGCCCUUCACCAAUUUCCUGGUGGUAUUUAUGGCAGCAGGUUACAGUGACUGCCAAAAGCACGCAGUGAACAACUGUGGCAGCUCACCUGGCAUAUAUUCCCUUUAUCUGCCCUCAGUCUCCAGCAGAAGAAAGGAUGGAAUCGAUGUAAGCUUGCACUAGACAGAUUAAAAAAAGAGCUCGCGCUCUAUCAGAGUAAUCCUCCCAUGGCCACCUAUUUCCAUGUUUAAAUCUAUGCAAUGCAAGGGAAAUAGGCCCCAUACUUUAUCAAUGCCAAUCACAUUUGUUAAACAUGCGAAUGGGGUAUAUCUGUUUACUUAAAUGUUACCAAGUAGAAUUCAGUAACAUCUUUUGAAACUGAUGUCACGUCCUUCAGCUUAGGGAAACUAAAAGGAAAUGAAGACACACAGCUGCUUGGUAUGCUGGUGUCCCAGUAGGGAAAUGGCUUCCCCCGGUGCUAGAUGCAGAAUAAAAUGAUAGACAAUAUUUAAAGGCAAAAAUACAGUAAGGAAAGGUUCAUCAACAAAGUAGCAAAUAUAUAGAAGAUUUUAUUUUAAUGCGUUGAUACAGCUUCUCUGCUUCCUCCAAAUCCAAAAUCAUGACAUUAUCUCCAUGAAAUACUCUGUAACAAAAUUCUCAGUAUGAAUCAGGGUCUUCAGGGUACUUCCCUUUUCCAUUUUCAGCAGCAUUUUUAAAUAAUUGCUGCAUCCUGUAGCUUCAGCGCUUAGACAGCAGUAAAGACAACAUAUUCUACACACUCACUGCACCUGUACACAAGUAUAGUGUCCCACACAGCUGGAAAGCACUCUCUGAUGAAUGGGCAUAUUAGAAUCACACAAAAUUAUCUUGCAUCUGAGGUCAUUCAUCAUAUCUGGCAACAUCUUACUAAAACUGCAAUGAAAGCAACCAUACCUCCAUAGCUUCUUUUAUCCAAAUGGUUCUCCAUACCAUGUUUACCUUUUUAAUGUAUACUGUCUGUAUGCUUACAAAGGGUAAAAUUCUCAGACAUCCUUAAAUGUGCCACUCCAUUAAUAAUAGAGCUGUCAUUAUCUUGAACAAAUGAGAUUCUGAUCACAAAUUCUUUCACUUAACAAUUAAAUAUGACCACUUCUGGGACGGCUAUAAUAACCCUUCAAUGGCACACAAACAACAUUAUCCAAGAGUUUAUAGCCAGAAAUAAAGUAAAACACCUCUUUCCAAAGACACAGCAAGGGGAAAUUAACGUAGGAAAUGAACCCAAACUGGCCAAGACAUUUAAAUAUAUUGUUUCAACAUUAUCUCCCAGAGAACAAUACACCUACUAGAUCACCCACAACCAUGAGAAGUUUAAGAUAAACCCCCAACUGAGCAUCCAGGCAGGACUCCUACCAGAGAGCCAUAGUCACUCCCUAUGCCCCACCACCCCAUCUGGUGAGUCCACAUUCCUCUGUGAAUUACCUACAUAGGCCCCUAAUAUUUCAAUAGGACUAUCUCUGCUGUAGCAUAUGUCUAUGCAUGAAUCCAAAGCAUGGAGGGACUUGCUUACCUACUGCUCCAACUUCUUCCUAGAAGCUGAAUUGAUGCUGAGAGGCUAUGAUUAUUUGUUUGAGGACGGAAUCAGUUACACAGCUUUCAGACCAACCUGGCCAAAUGCAAUUCCAAAUGCAUAUUUGUCAGCAAAAGACACUUGAAACUUACCCUUAGCUCAUGUGAGACAAAAAUACUCUAGUGCAAAGGUGGCAUCACUGAGCCCUUUAUAGCAAAAAGUCUUUUUCAUCUGCUACAUAACCCAAUGACUCAUGACCUAGAAAUAAGUUCCCAAGAUAUAAUAAAUGGGAAGACAAGCGGGCUCUAAACUGCUUUUUGUCCAGAAACUUCCCCUUUCACACCUGUUGCUACAGUUCUCUUUUUCCCAAUUAUUUACUCAGGAAAAAGAGCAUAUGGGAAGGACCCUGCCAGGAAAUACUUGAAUGAGCUGAAAGUGGUGUUUUAGACAUAAAAAAAAAAAGACAGGGCAAAGCAUGGCAUUCAUGCCAAAUGGCUGUUAAAGAGGUAACAACAGAAGAGUGAAAUAAGAUAUGACGAUACUGGAGUCUGAUGAGAGCUAGACAGGAAUCACAGGAAGCACUUAUGCAGAAAUAGAAGGAAUAAAAGAAUUUUGCAGUGCUUUGGAUGACAAGUGAUAUGAUUUGAGCAUGAAAUGUAAAACAACUGGCAGUUCAGAAGGAAAUGUGAAGAGAGCAAGAUGGCAACAAAUACAGAAACGGCUGCAGGUUGCUACCUCAGCAGCCACUUGAGUGAACUGCUCUCAAGGAAAUCCAAAGGGAGAAAGUCACAACAGUCAGUGCAAGAGAUUAACAGAAGUAUGAACAAAGCUUCUAGCUGGAAGACUGGGUUUAGUCAGGAAAGGUAGAUCUGUUGUUGGCUGUGACAGACCAAGAACUGAAUGAAUGACAGGUGCCCAGUCACAUUUUCCUUCCUGGGCUGGAGCUCAGACCGAACAGUGGGACAAAGGAAGGAAAGCAUGCAUAACUAAAGAUUCUACUGAAUGGCUCCUAUCCAUCAUUGAUAGAGGAGUUGUUCUCUAUGGCUCACAAUGUAGGAGGAAAAAGCUGCCUCUGAACCUUGGUAGCUCUGCAUGGCACAGGUUCCCAGGAUGCUAUCAUUCACACAGCAAUGCCAGCUCCAGGUAUUUCACAGCAAGUAUUUGUAUUCAAAGCCUUGGGUUCAAUUUUGCAGACUUCAACUCAGGACAAAACCAGUGAAAGUUGCAUAGGAACAUUCCUGCAAGAAAAGAUUCAAUGGCAGAAGCAGUAAGUGUAAUGGGGACCACAGAACGCACUAGGGACAAAGGCUCAGAUUCCUCCGGCACAUAUAUUUCCAUCUCUCUAUUUUAUAAAACUUAAAGAUUUUCCUUGCUAAGCAAUGCAUCUGCUGAUCCCUAAGGACUACACCCCAUCAACUUUAAAACUUGCUUUUAUGAAGCUCGUUUUCUCCUUUCAUUAGCUCUUAUUGUUCUCUCUGUGCUGCUGCAGGUAUCUCUGCUGCUGUUAAGAGAAACAGUGGCUUGCAGCCAUCUCGGUCACCAUGGACUUGCGCUAUUCACCACAACCGUUAUCCCGACAAACACUCUGCCUUUCCAAUUGCGGCCUCAAAGUACCAACUCCCUCUUCAUAGGAGCAGACAGCUACAAUAAGAAGAGAUACACAUCAUAAGCUCCAUUAUUAGAAUACACAGCUGACCUUUUCUACCUACUGACAGCACAGCUUAUGGCAGAUUUCCAUUAUCCAAAGCUCUCUACAAAUUUGCUCCAGCUUCUACUGAUUCAACACAGACACUAAAAGUCAAGAGUCUUUUGAGUGCUUAUCAUAUAUCUUGAUAGAGAGAAACAGAAACUGAGCAGUUUGACACUUCGGAUCCAGGCGACUACAUGUGCCUCUAUGCUCAGCAAAGACAAAGAUGCCGGGGUUUGCAAAGGAGUCAAAGGUGCCAAGACUCUACAACAAAAGAGAAGUUUUCACCUACAAAUCAAAGCAGUGGUUGCAAUGAGAGUGCGGGAGCAAUACUUGCCUUUCUCACUCAGACUUGGCUUGGGAUUUAAAGCCCCAGGGGCUUCCAUCCUGCAUCCGACUGUGGGUUUACAGCAAAAUGAGCACUGAGAGAGAAAUAUGAAGGCUCAGACAAGGAGAUGGAAGAAAAGGAGAAAAGGAGGUGAGACACAGAUAUGCAGAACCACCACACUGCAAGUGGGAACCCAAGCCUCCUCACAUGCAUGACCACUGAAGAUACUGCUUUGAAAACAGAAGUGGAAAUAAAUGGGAUUUGAAGAGGCCUGUGAUGCACCCCACCACUAGAGAACUUCUUGAGGAACAGAUUCCAGAGCCAGCUAGAGCAGUCCUGAAUGUAGCACUAAAAAAAAUGACCACAAACACCGUAAGACAUGAAGUCCGAUAUACACGAUCUGGCAUAAGCAUAGUGCAAGAAUUUCAGUGGUGUGACUAAAAUCCUCUUUGGCCAUCUGAAUAUAUUACCAAAAUCUGAUGCAUCACUAGAUCUUCAAGAAACUACUGCUCUGGGAUCUUUUGCUCAUUUUCACACUUUCCAUAUCUGAACGCCUCCAUCUUUAUCAACCCAAUGGUGAGAUGUUCCCUCACCAAAAUCCAAGACUUUGUCUCAAGAAUUCAGCUCUGGAUUUGCAACAAUCACUUCCACUGCCUGCUACCAGACACCCUGAGUGCUUUCGACUCACUUUGCAUCAUGGAGAGAAGGUCCUUUUCAAUGUCUACCAUUGUCAGCAAUUCUCUUUUCCCAUUGAUCCUUCCCCAGCAGACAAACAAGGAGCUCAUGAUAACACGCCUACUCAAGGUGAGAUGACCAGUUUGAGCACCCUAUUCUUUUUCCUAACCUGUUACUGAUAACCCUCAGUGUGACUCAAGUGUCGGUCCCUGAGAGGCGGCUUAAAAUAGUAAAGCUGGAACUACCAGAAGCUGGAUAAAUUAAUGGGGUUUUUUUCUGGAAUAUUUAGUUACAACUGACAGAACUUUGCACAUCUUCCACUUCCUCAACAGUUUGGAACUGCAUCGAAGUCAUGCUCUUAAAGUUAAAUCAAGAAAAAAAUAAUGAUCUUUCCUUGGGGUUUUGCAUCACAUGCAAACUUUACAUUUCACAAAACUGUAAUGAUUGCAUCUUUCCCCACACAGGUGCUCAGGAUACAGGUACUUCAGGAAACAUCAAGCUCAGAUUUUCCACACUGAAAUACAGGGAAAGAGAGAAAGCACUGGCUGUAAGCCGUAACUGUGGCUGUAUCACUUUACCAUCCUGCCAUCCAGGGAGAGGUUGAAGCAGCAGCAGGCUACUUGUGCUUUCACCUCCAUUUUUAAAAGGAUUUGUUUGUACAUGUAUAAGGGGAAAGAGGGAGAUGAAGAGAAGCUCCCCAUUCAGGAAUAGACAUGAAAAUGGGAAUUUUCAGCAGCACAGUAUGUCACCAAAUAUCUUGUUGCUUUUUCUACCAUUAUAAAGAGCAAUACUUCAUUUGCCCUUGCCUGCCAUAUUUGCUUUGUAAGGUAUCGUGGUUUGGGCCAGACUGGCCACUGAGAUGAAUGACAGAUGCUCUUCCCCACCUCUCUCUUCAAGGAGAGGAAGAGACCUAUGGAGCUUAGAAAGGAGACUAAACUACUUUAAUGAAAAUAUUAAUAAAAUAAUAAAAAGGAAAUAAUGAAAUAUAUACAAUAUAUACAAAACACUAUCAAUCUCCCAGGAUGAGGAUCAUGUCAACCACAGGCACUUGGGAAGUCCCAGACUGGACUCAGCGACGGAUGGGAACUGGAUUCUGGAUCUGAGUUCAGGAAUGCACGGAUUGGGAUCAAAGGCAGACAGAGUCCUCCUUGGACGCCAGCCACUGAAGAAAGAGGCUGACCCUUUGAUCCCUCAGCUUUUAUACUGAGCACAAUGCAGAUGAGAUGGAAUACCCUGAUGGUCAGUUUUGGGUCACCUGUCCUGUCCGCUCCUCCCCGCAGGUACGACCCUUCUAUGCUCUUCUGCUUCUGACCCUCCAACAGGACACAUAACAAAGUGAGCUGACCUUAGUUGUUAUAGCAAUAAAUAUAAGCAAGAGCCUCUCUGCAUACCAGCCCUUGGCAUAAAUUAGAAACAAUCAGGUCUUAUCUCUCUGGGAGCAAACAGUGUCUGAACAAUACGCUGUUAAUUUCAGAGAGUUCACUUAGUUAGAAGAGGCUUAGUUGCAAAGUAAAAUUACUGAACAGAAAAUUGGUUCUGUUUUACCUCAAACCAGUACAUAGGGUUUGCCACAUCCUGGCCUUCAUCUGCCACAUUGUGGUACAGGAAAUCCAGGGUUCUCUCUCUGCAGGGCUAAUUAUGUCAGGGACUCCUAUUCCACUCCAGUAUCUCUAUCAAAUGCCUGAAAGUACAGACACCAAAGCUCCUAACUGCACUCAUCCUUGCUCUGUAUUUCCAUCCAACAGAGACAAACGCGCUGGAAAAAUUGCUACUAGAGCAAGCUACCAUGAAAAACAGAGUUUGCUUUUCUUCUUUUAAAUGAGUUAGUUAGAAACCAUUCGGCUGUUUGUUCGGCAUUCUGAGCCAAAGCCAAGCGCGAUCUCUCCCUCGACUUACAUUAGUCUUGAGAACACAAACAAUAAGCAAGCUGAGGCUUAAUGAGCCUGCAUGCGGGGUCAGUCUGGCGGAACGAAACAGGAUGGUCAUUUUUGGAGCCAUCCCAUUUUGAAACGGGAACUACAGAGAGGGAAUAAAAAGAGCAACAGAGGAGUAAGGACCUGCAGAGAUAUCUCAUUCAAAGGAUUUCUCAGAUAGUGACUCCCUCGUGGCUUCUUUACUCCAGCUGAUUUGUAAGAUACUAUUGCCCAAGUACUGGCACUGAGCAGCUAAUCCAGAUCAGCUUGCAUCAGCCUUUGGCAUAGCUGCAGUGGCACAUCUGGGUUGAGAAGGAAAGACUCAGCCUUCUCUCCAGGAAUGUAUAAACAUAUUUGGUUUUAGAAAGACUCGCUUCAAAUAAAAUGUGUACUAUACAACACACAAAAGGAACAUACUUGAGAUUGAAAAAACACAUCAACGGCACUAAACCCUUUCUGUAACUAUUUCUGAACAACGCAUAAUAGAACCUUCUGCUAAAACCCAAGCGUGUGAAAAGCACAGACUUUCACCAUUAGAGUCAAAAGUUAACCUCCUUUAAUUGCCUCUAAAAUGUGGGAGAUGAACAAUUCUAGAUGUAAAAGCACUCCACCAACUACGGAGUCAAUAGACAACACGUGCUAGAGGAAAUACAGAGCCACGGUAACAUCUUCAACCAGUCACUCCUUCCCUUUCCUCUCUUUCCUAACUCAUUCCACAGACCCCAUUCUGGGGCACAUUUCAUAUUCUCUUUGUUUCUCAACUUAACAGACUCCUUAUUUCCCUGGCCUGUGCAGCCCUGAAGAGCAGGAAGAAUGCCAAAACCCAUUAACCCGAGAGGCGCUCAGAUAUAAAGGUGAUGGGCUGAUAGAAAAUUCUAAAGGCAAACUGGAUUAGUGUCAUAGACAUAUCUUUGGGCCAUCUGAAGAAGGAAUCUUCAAUUAUUCCGAGACACAUUAAUAAGCUUUUGAAAAUUUUACCUUGGCAACCCACUCCUCAAGCUACAAAACAAUGAACAGAGAAAUGUGAACCUCAGACAACUGAAUGGUUAAAAUCCUGCUUGUGAUCUGCUGCAGACGCUUUCACUGGGAAUGUUUGAGCAUAAUAGUUCUGUGUAGGACGAAGGGAACUGUUGAUA